RNAcentral lists this ribosomal RNA (369 nucleotides) under Triticum aestivum (bread wheat). RNAcentral describes it as "partial small subunit ribosomal RNA". The record is from RNAcentral. Lineage: Eukaryota; Viridiplantae; Streptophyta; Magnoliopsida; Poales; Poaceae.
AUGGCCAUCUUCGAUGAAUUCUUUGUUGGUUCUAUUGACCUGGGUCGCCUCAACUACGGUAUCAUCUCUCUCAUCCCCAAGGUCCCUGGGGCGUCCGACAUCCGCCAGUUCCACCCGAUCACGGUCAUUAAUGUGAUCUUCCGGAUCUUGGCCAAAGGGUACGCCAAUAGGGUGACCCUGCUUGCGGACCGGGUAACCCACCCUAACCAGUCGGCCUUCAUUAAGGGCCGAUACAUCCUGGAUGGAGUCCUGGUCCUUCAUGAAGUCCUCCAUGAGGUCCGGGUCAAACGCCUUAAGGCGGUUUUUCUGAAGAUCGAUUUCCACAAAGCUUACGACUCUGUUAGGUGGACCUUCCUCGGGGAAGUCCUU